This 1692-nucleotide long non-coding RNA is filed under the name Xyrichtys novacula (pearly razorfish). The record is from RNAcentral. Lineage: Eukaryota; Metazoa; Chordata; Actinopteri; Labriformes; Labridae.
CCACUGUCUGCACGGGCGCAGUACCUACUCUCUGCCUGCGGGGUCGUCUUUCCCCACCGCUCGUCUAGUGUGUCCGAAUUGGGCCAACGUAUUCAGUAUGUAGGAGUAGGAUCUAGCAGUAGCACGUAGCAGUAGCAUGUAGUAUCCGAGCGGGCAGUUCGGACGCAGCAAGAGUCUCCUCUUCUCACAGAUUGGGUGUGUCCCCCCUGCACUGGCUCUCCCUGCACACUCACACCUGCACCUAAUCACUGCAAUCACCAGCAGCUCUUAAACUCUGAUGCCUCUCCAGUGCCGGAUUAUUCCCACAUCUCAUGUGGUACGUCAGCCAACUCUGCUCGUGUUCUUGUAUUUUGCUACUUUCAUUAUAGAACUUUGCCAAUUUUGUGUCCUUUCCAUGUCAUGUCACUUACUGGUGUUUGUUCUGCUUUUUCCAGUGCCUCCACAAGCCCUGGUGCAAUCCAAUCUCUGUCACACUCUCUCUGAAAAUCACUCACCUGCUACAGCCUUCACCCCUCCUCAGAAUCCCCUCCCUCCUCCUUUCCCCAAUCAAUAAAUUAACUCUAAUGCUUCAUCUGCCUCUGGUUCACAUUACAAAAACUGGUAUCAUACCAAAACAUAUAUUUCUAUAUCACAAAGACUAUGAAAAUUGGGAAAAAAAGUGCAUUUUUUAAGUGUCUGAUUUCUCGAUUUGCUUCAGACCAAUACAGUUGUCAGGGUUCUGGUUUAUCCCAAGUUUACGACUUUGUUCUGUUCAUUCUGACCACCCCUUACUAUAGGGUGACCAAUUGUGGAUCCCCAAAAAGAGGACACUACUAUGUGGGGCAGAGUUGCGCGCAAAAUUUUGAGUGUUUUUUAUGCGCUUCUACCUUAGUUAGUCCACACUACACAAACUGAAAACUUCCAUACAAAACCCCGGACUUAAAAGACAGGCCAGACAGCCCCCCAAAAAGAGGACGUAUGGUCACCCCACUUACUACAUGUCAUUCCUCACCCUCUCUCUCGCCAGUUUCUAUCUAUCGUCCUGUAUUUUUAUUAACACGUUAAAAGACCCCCUAAAAAUCUUAAAGGAAAAAUAUAAUGCAAAAGAAUGAAAAAACAGAGGCCUCUUUUGACCUUUCACAAGAGGUCAUAGAGAUGAACACAAUCAACAAAUGACUAUCCCUCAUUUUUGUUUUGUGGUAAUUUGUCCAGUAUUUGAUAACAGUAACUGAAAGGACUGGUGAAGAGAGAGGAGGCUUCAAAUAGAUUUCUGUCUGUCUUGGAGACAAACACAAAUAAGCUAACUGAGAAAGGAGGUUUGUUUUCAGUGUGAACUUUGUACGCAUGCAAAACACUGUUGCUUUUGGUAAAAGGAUCUGCAACUUUGCAUGUUUUAUAGACAAACGCACUGUCAAUAAGCACCAAAGAGGAAGCAGUGUAAAAAAAGGGUGUGACUUGCUGUCAGAGCAUCACAUUAUUACUACUUCUGACAUGCACAACUUAUCAAAGCCACAGAGUGCACGUACACAACUUAAAUCUCACUUUUCCUUGUUGUUUUUUGAAAACGUCUGCUUAAAAAUGCAAAGUAAAUGAACUUUUUCCUCUCCUCCUCAGGGACCCAUCUCGGUCUAUGCUGUCAUUUACAGUGGCAUUUUUAAAUGUCACUUGUCCACGAGGCACAGGAUGUGACUUGACAGUGUGGUAAAUGCAGGC